Osmia lignaria (orchard mason bee) is the source of this 2350-nucleotide non-coding RNA. The record is from RefSeq and is a predicted model, not a curated record. NCBI's taxonomy places the organism in Eukaryota, Metazoa, Arthropoda, Insecta, Hymenoptera, Megachilidae.
AAAUAUUCAAACAAUACCGAUGGAAACGAGAGCGAUUUGUAAACUGUUUGUCGACCCGUGAUUGCGUAGAAAAAGUGGAAGUGUCUUUUGCUUUAAGCGUUUUUAUCGUCUUUUUUUUAAGAUCAUGUUAUGUUUUAGUUUGUUGUCAUGUACGAAAUCGUGGUCAAAUUUAUGCAAUGUACUGAUUUUCUAUUAGAUGGUGACUAAUAAAAUUGAAUUAGUUAUUAGUUAAAUAUUUGUUCGUCAUUUUACUUUGACUUUUUUUAGUGAAAGUUGUAAAACAAUCAUUAGUGUCGGUCAGUGGUAUUUGAAUAUCGUUUCGAUCAUCUGUUACAGGCGCCACCAUGCAGACUUACCUAAAAUUUAUUUAUUAUUUAAGUUUCCGCUGCUUUUCGAUAGAAAGCGCUAGUGCUUCCGCGUUUGUGGCGGCCGUUAUCGAUAAGGAAGAUUGAAGAUUAUUCUCAUCGCCACCUUUUUAUAACUACAUUUAUUGUUCAUUUGUCAUUUUAAACAAAUUAGAAUAACUUUUGUAACUAUUCAUUCCUCGCCAAAUUCUCCAAGCCUAAAGACGUGUCAACCUUUAUAUCAAUAUUUCCGAAUAUAUAUUUUUUCAAUUGAAGCGUUGACCAUUCAUUUUAAAUACGGAACAAGUCCACACGUUUGUGGCGGCCGGCAUCGAGGUCGAUAAUGAAGAAAAUGACUAUUAAGAAGAAAUUGUCGACACCACUAAUCAUUUUCGCUAAUCAUUUAUUUUUAUUAACAAAAUUCAUCAACUGCAAAGGUAUGUUAACGGCUGAACUUUACCUCAGAGGCCCAAAAAUUAUGGCCCUUUUUUUUACCUUCUUGAAGUAUUUUACGAGUAGAAUCUAAAAAUCCUAGUUUUAAGGCGCGGUAUCCAUCGGUUCAGAAGUUAGACGUGUGUAAAAAUGAGGGUUUUUAGCGUAUUUCACGGGUUAUUUCGACGCCAUAUUGACUUGUAGCCUGUUGCCGUCCAAUCACGUCCAAUGAGUGGAGUCGCCGUCGGUAAAACAGAAUUUGUAGGUAAAUUAGUCUAAACUUGGCUUUCAUUCGAUUCCUAUUAUAAUUGGCAUUUUUUACUAUUUCUAGGGCUAGGGUUAGAGUUAGGGUUAGGGUCAGGGUCAGGGUAAGGGUUAGCGCCGGAGUACAGCACACCCGGUAUACGCUAAAAACGCUCACUUUUACACAUGUAUAACUUCUAAACCAAUGAAUUCCGUGCCUUAAAACUAGGAUUUUUAGAUUCUACACGUAAAAUACUUCAAGAAGGUAAAAAAAAGGCCAUAAUUUUUGGGCCCCUGAAGUAUAGUUUAAUACUACAAGAAAGGAAAAAAUAAAUUUUCUCGGGCCAAGUAAUGUUUUAUUCACCUCUUCAAGAAAAAAGACAGCAAAAGUUUUUACAAAUCCUCCGGAGGCAAAUGUGGAAACAGCCCGACUGGUAAAACUUCCGCCAUUCUGGAAAGAAAAUCCUUCAUUAUGGUUCAAAUGUAAUCGGGUUUUGUUGCCCCAUAUGUUAUUUUAUAAGCACGAUAGUGUCUUAGACAGUCGUUUGUUUAAUUGCGAAGCGAACACGGCAUGGCAUGGCUGCCGCAAAGCCAGUGUCACAACAUCCACAACUGUGCCAGAGUGCCAGUAUUGUGGCGACCAUUGUAAGCCAAACACGUAUUAAAUAUCAUUUCUCAAGUUAAACAUCUCCUUUGCCCAAGCCUUACACAAACAAGUUGAAGCAGCUUUCUCCGUUGUCCGAGUCGUGAGCGAUGACUCGAAAUUCAAAUAUAUAGUCAUGAAUUUGGAACAAUCAAUCCUACCAAUCGUCUCCGACAUCCUCGAAUCGUCGCCGGAUCAUGGAAGAGACAUGAAGCCCUGAAGAGCCGAAUAAUCACCGUUUUUACUGAGACAACAGAAACAAGACUAAGAAAACUUCUUCACGGACACGAGCUUGAUGAUGAGAAACCAUCAGUUUUCCUCCAACGAAUGAAACAUCUAGCAGCAGAUAUUUGAUGGAUAUUGAAAGGACGCCAUGACACCUGAUAUGGAUUUGAAAUAGAAUUUGAUGAAUUUUUUGAUUUUGCCGAGUUCCUAGACAUCCUGAUGUCUUCUCUCUGUUAUAUUUUUUUCAGGAACUAUGCCUUUGAGAUUCUGAAAUGUACCACAUUGCAAAUAUAAUUUUACGGAAAGAAAAUUAAUAAUAAUGGAUGCAUGGUCAAUAUCGUUUAAUUAUGUACUUAAAUAAUGCCGUAGAAUAUGACACUGUAGUACCAAAAACUAUGUCGCGUUUGGUAUCAUUUUAAUCAGGAAUUUUCACAAACAAAAUAAAUUACAGUCAGGAUUUAAA